This 407-nucleotide ribosomal RNA is filed under the name uncultured bacterium. RNAcentral's name for it is "partial 16S ribosomal RNA". It matches the Rfam family "Bacterial small subunit ribosomal RNA", at positions 30 to 526 of the family's 1533-position model. The record is from RNAcentral.
AUUGAACGCUGGCGGCAGGCCUAACACAUGCAAGUCGAGCGGAGCGGCGGACGGGGGAGUAAUGCCUAGGAAUCUGCCUGGUAGUGGGGGAUAACGUCCACAAACGGGCGCUAAUACCGCAUACUAUCAGAUGAGCCUAGGCCGGAUUAGCUAGUUGGUGGGGUAAGGGCCUACCAAGGCGACGCUCCGUAACUGGUCUGAGAGGAUGAUCAGUCACACUGGAACUGAGACACGGUCCAGACUCCUACGGGAGGCAGCAGUGGGGAAUAUUGGACAAUGGGCGCAAGCCUGAUCCAGCCAUGCCGCGUGUGUGAAGAAGGUCUUCGGAUUGUAAAGCACUUUAAGUUGGGAGGCGUUACCAACAGAAUAAGCACCGGCUAACUUCGUGCCAGCAGCCGCGGUAAUUC